Molecule: long non-coding RNA, 3929 nt
Filed under: Sus scrofa (pig)
Lineage: Eukaryota; Metazoa; Chordata; Mammalia; Artiodactyla; Suidae
Description: lncRNA (ENSSSCG00000060175.1)
Source: RNAcentral
UAUACACACACACACACUCAAUGGAAUAUCAUUCAGCCGUAAGGAAUAUGUCAGGAUGAUGAUGUUAGAUGCACAGAAUGACAGAAGUAUAAGGACUUGGGAGGUCAUCGAGUGUAAUCUUCUCAUAGGAGGGGGCUUGCCCCAGGUCACACGGUCAGUUAGAAGACAGCUCCCCUGACUCUUGAUCGAGGGGACACCCAGCCAAGACCUGCCCACUGAACUUCCUCCUUUCCAGAUGUGGAGAGUGAGGUAACAUGGGCAAAAAGAGAGAAUUUAACUUGCUGUGAGUGGUUUAAUAACAUGAGUCAGCCCUAUCCUACUCUGUUAUUUGCGAAUACCUAGUUCUCUGUUCCCAUGGCUUUCACCAUCUUUGUCCUUUGGCUUUCAGAGAUGAUAGAUGGAAUACAUGGCUGCACAGGUUCAUUCAAUAGAUAGUCUCAAGAGCUUUUCCAAUGCUGAGGAUGCUGGAUAAGUAAGACGGUGGUCCAUCAGAGCUGGGGCGAUUCACUUUCCCCGCCAAUCACAGUCCAAGGCAGCAAAGCUCAGGAACACCCAUGGAAGGCACGGCCCGCGGAGCAGGAGGAGAGGUGGUUUGCCAGUCUGGGGCAGGUCAGGGAUUGCAGAAGGAGACAGAUUGACAGAGACCCAGUAUUUAUUUAACAGAUGCUACUCUUUGGCUUAUUUGGUAAAGGAGUUGAAUUGAGUAGAUGUUUAUGUUUAAUCCACAGCCAUCAGGCAAGGACCAUGAGAAACAGGACUGCCCCAGGAUUCAGUCUCACAAAAUUCUGCCUCAGUUUGCAAUUAUACACCCCCUCUCUCCACCUUAUCUUUGUGCUGUUGUUUACUCUGCCAAUUAGUUGCACAUGGUUUAUUCGCAGCCCCAAAGUCUCUACCAAAGUCCUUCUCACCCCACUGGAGACACAGACGCGGGGAAGGGAGAGCAGGCUAAGCCUUGGGUGUGACUGGGCAUCAUUCAGGGACCAGAGUGGGUCUGGGGAUUCCCUUUCCGCGUGGGGGUUGGGGGAGAUCUUGAUGGGAAUGAAAGUUAAUCUGGGUCUCUUUGAAUACAAAAUCGGUCAGAAAAUGUCAAGUACCUGGUUUAGGCAGCGCUCUCUCCAGGCCGUCAUUUACCUGUAAACGGAGCACCAUUCAAGCCUUAAAUGUCAGUGUGUGCCUCUGCAAAUGUGGGAUCAGGUAACCCCUGAGUACUUUAGCCUGUGCUCUGACACCGAGGCCCCAAAUCCCUGACAUUAGCUGGGGGACAGCCAGACACCCUGCCUCGGAGUCAUUCCGGGAGAAAGGCCCCAGGCAUUGAAGCUUUGGGGAUUUUGGUCCUUUGGGGGUGAAUUUAAUGCAUCUCCUUCCUGAAGGUAGUUCCUAACUCUACCCGUAUAUGUUCAAAAGAGAACUCUUUAAACACGCAAUGAAAACUGAGUUUUAAUCCCCAAGCCUGGGUGUCUACCUGGCAGCUCCUCCUGAAUCUAGCCCAGCUGCUCUCAACAGCCUUCUCUUCUGUGAGCUAAUCCCUCUCUUGGCUCCUGUCUGUUAAUGGCUUUCCCCAUUCCACCGAGGCACCAUAUGCUUAACGAUCUCCUAUAAAGAGGAUGAAUUUCCCUGAGCUGUCCUCUAACUUUUGGAAUGUACCGUCCCCUCCAGAGUGUCAGGGGAAAAAAAAAAAAAAGCUCUAAAGCAGCAGGAGAGCUAAUGGACCUGUCUUUCCCAGAGAAAGGAAAACAAGGGUACCAACCAUUUGUGGCUCCUGAAUAAUCCCGCUGAGAGGUGAUCAGUCCCAGCCGCUAACGAGCUCAAAUUCGCCUAUUUAGUGAUUGGCCUUUGUUCUGUUCUCUGCUACCUGAACUGUCUUCCCCACUCCACCUUCAGACACACUGAACCAGAAGUUCAUCUAAGGGGCAAGAGGUGGUGAUUUGAGCCUCUAGUUGUUAUGAAUCACCAGAGUGAUGUCUUGAAAUUCCAGGCAAUAUAAAUCUGUGUCAUUUGGCUGAUCAUGAGCUGGUGUUGCCAGAAAUAUUUCCAGUGCAGAUUAUUUUAAAUACAAGAGUUCUUCAUUAUUGUCUGCUGUCCAUUCAGAUCAUGGAGUGAUAAUUAUUGCAUGUUAAGGGACUUUAACUGCAUUCAUAGAACAUGAGGUUUCCAUCUAAUAUUUCCAAAUCAUUGCUCUGGCUGAAGUAUACAUACAGUAAUAAGUCAGCUUUAGGAGACGUGGCUUACCCUCCAAGCCUUACAUGGCAGCAUUGGCACUGUAAUCUCAGCUUUGCUCCUGUCCAGAUACUGGUCUGAACACUAACAAGCCAGCCAAUUCAAACUAAGAUCUCAUUUGACUCUUUUUUCCCCUACUAAAUUAGCACAUUUCUCAGGCAUCUCUCCGAACAAUGGUUCUCAACCCUGGCUGCAAUUAGAAUCAUCUGGGGAGCUUUAAAAAAAAGUCAAUGCCCAGGCCCCACUCCAAAUCAAUUAAGAUAGAUUUUCUGGAGGUAGGCCUCAGGCGUGGGAAUUUUUAUACAGCUUCCCCGGUUAUAUGUGCAGCCAAGGAAGGCAAUCACUGUUUUAAACAUGACCAAAAUGGAUGAGUAUCAGCUUUGCUUGCAUAACAACCAUUAAUUUCAUAUGUGUAUACAAUUUCAUGUAGUCACACUUUAAGUCAAAUAAAGCCAACAGGAAGCUGUAUCUAUAUAGUGCGAGGUAGGUGGCACUUGUUCCAGUGCCACCUAGAUCAGCCAGAUCUUUGGAGCUGAUCAAACAAUAAUAUAGGCAAACAAAUCUGGCCAAAAUACGUUUUAGCAACCAGUUUCCUAUCUGACAUGUUUCUAGUAGAGCCAGGGCUGUGCGACUAUGGGAGAUAGUCAUGAUUCUUUGUUCUCUCCAUUGAGGGGGCUGGGAUGAAAGCCAAGCUGCAGUCCUGGGGCGGGGGAGACAACUGAGAUUCGGACCCAACCUCCUCAUGCUGACACUGGGACCACAGAAGACCGUGGCAUCUUCUUGAGAUUCCAUGGCAACCUGAGGCAUCCCUCUCAAGGAUGUUUUCCCUUUCCACCACAUCCACCCUUCCCACCGGCCCACGCAAACAAGCACCCUGGGCCAAUCCUGAAGGCAAUGCUGUUUAUGGGGCACGACCACGCUUCAGAAAAGAUAUCCUGGCUGCUAAGGCCUGAAGCUUCCCUGCUGAGGCAGGGCCUGCUUUUCCGAAUUUGUUUGCCAAGUUCUUGUGUCCCCAAAUGGUCCUUCACACGGAGAGGUCUGAUCUGCCAGCCUUAUAACAUCUUCGUUGCUUUAAAAGAAUGGAAGAAAUGUCUGUUUCUAAUUACCACGUUUACAGCUCCCUUUUCUCUCCUAUGGAAAACAGAAUCAGCUCCUUUUUGAAAACUUGCAAAUAUUUCACAUUUGUUUGGAAAGCAGAUUUCUUUCCAGGUUUUUGGAAAGCUGAAGUCACUGACACAUGGCUGCUGAGUGAUAUUGUUGCUGAGUGCAAACAUCACUUGUUCCCCGCACAGCCAAACCUGCCUUUUAGGCCAUGCUGAGGGCAGGGAGGGGUGAACCUGGUGUAGAACAGCCCCAAGGCUGCUGGGAGUGGUACUUGUGUCUGCAGAGACCUCAAAGAGAAGACCUGAACAAAGCAAAUGAUGGUCUGCCUUGAGCCCUGCCCCACCCCACCCCAGCCCUGUCCCAGGCACCAGAUGAUUCUAGCUCAGACCUCUGUUUAGCAUAACACUACAGAAAAACCUGGUGCCCUUUUGGGGAAUAAAAAUGGAACAUCAUGGGAGUUCCCUCUGUGACACCAGGAUCAGCGAUGUCUUUGGAGUACUGUGACCCAGGUUCGAUCCCCAGCUGGGCACAGUGGGUUAGGAUCCGGUGUUGCCACAGAUGCAGCAAAGGUCACAAUUGUGACUUGGAUCAGAUCCCUGGCCAGGGAA